UUGUACAUUGGCGCCCUCGGUGCGAGUCGGUGUCGUAGUUUAUCAUCACCUCCUAGCAUACGCCUCACUCGUACUCUCAUGCGUACAGGCAUACAGAAAAGUCGAGUACAUCCGCAGAGGUCCCACUUACUUUAGCUUCAUUGAUGUGCCGAGCGAGUGCGUGCUUUUUGAUCACUGUCUCUGUGCAUGUGUCCGUGAUUGAGUCUUUCCUCCACCCCCUCUCUCUCUCUCCGGCUCUGCCUCUGUUUCUGUCGUCGUGCGCACCAUCGAUCGAUUCACAAUUGCACACAACCAUACGCCUACACGCCUGCACUCACACGCGGGCGCCUCGUUUCGAGACAUCCAAGACGGAACACAGGAAGCGCAACAACUACGCAGCCAAACACAACGCGCCACAAGCGUUCACGCUCAUUGCUAUUCAGCAGCUGAUCUUUCCCUCACGCGCGUCUGCCAGCGUGCGUUUUGUGUAGAUCUGUAUGUGCGUACACUGCUUGUUCUACCAAUCCUUGCGCUCGUCCUAGACGCUCUCGCCUUCUUAGAGCGUUACUGAGGACUUCACUGACCCCCUCCCCCCCAGUGCUGCUGCUGUAGCUGUGCGUGCCAUCCCUCCCUCUCCUCCUCUUCUUUGUUUUGGGUGUUUAUAGAUCCUACUCUCUUGGUGCGCCUGUGUGGUUGUGCGCUCCGCUUCUCUCUUCCGUUGGCGCAAAAGACACAGGUGUGCGGGCACGGGAUCGUAUUCGCUUGCUCACAUCCCCUGCUCGCCUUCACUCACACACGUACACACACACACGCACACGCUCCCCUUUGAAGGACCGGGUGCCAUGAACAGCACCCUGGGCAGUAGCGGGAGUGCCGGUGACGAGGCACCACUCGUUGGCGGCCUUGAUGCCCUCACGCUGCGGACCAUCAAUGAGCAGCAACUCAUCAUCCUUCGCCAGAAGGAGCUCGUCAGCACCCUCAAGGAGCGCGUAGAGGAGCUCGAGGCCCAACCGUGGCGGGCCGACGUAAAACCGCUGGAGGCCGCGCACAAGGCGGAUGGGCGCAAAGGCACGCUUUCCUACGUAUCUGAGAUGCAGCUGCGACGCCGCGUGAAGACGCUGGAGGACGAGAACAAGAAGCUCAGCGACCUCGUCGACGAGCUGCGCGCGGAGGUGAGCACCAUCUCAGCGCAGCUGUACGCCCAACAACUGCACACGCAGAGCGAGAAGGAUGUGUGGAAGGCCAAGGCGCGCAAUGCCGAAGCGAAGAGUGUAGCCACCGCGCACCUUCUAGAGGCGACGGACAAGCGCAAUCAACAACUAAUCCACCACCUCGAAAAGCUCCGUAGGGAAGGCGAGGUCAGCGCGUACGAGUGUGCGCAGUGGCGAUCACUAGCGACCACCACGGCCAGUCAUCUUGAUCACGCAAACCGGCGCUACGCAAGAGACCAGAUCAACUCUAUUGAGGAGGAUGUGCAUCGCUAUGCCGUAAACCGGCUCCGCUUGGCGCGCGUUGCCCCGUCGGCCUCUUUAUCGCUUGAAAGCGAGACGCCGGAGGAGACCCGAAAAAUGUGGAGCCGCAGUGCGCAGCUACCGAAGUUCGAUCCCGCACCGCAAGUAUUUCAGCAGCAGCAGCAGGAGUCGGUGUGCUCGCAACUUCACGUGUCGCACCAACGGCCACUCUCACAGCUGCUCCCUUGCCAGCCACCCCAGCCCACGGCAUCGCACUCGCUGGCCCCGCCAGCAUCCAAACACGUGAACGCGGAGACGCAUCCGUCGCCGUCGCAUUGCGCCGCUCUCGCACAAACAUGAACAAGCCUCCGCCGGCGCUCAAGACAAUAGAGGCGGUACUCUCCUCUGCAGAGAUCGAGGACAAGACGCGCACGCCGUUACGUCGCUAACUCUGGAUGCCUACCAGCACCCUCGACUUGCUCAGCCUUAUCGAGCAGGGAAGCGUCAUGUUCCGACGCUCCACCGUUCUCCACACGCUGCGGCCCCACAGACCGUAGUUUCAAGGUUGAGGCUGGGAGAUGACUCUGGCCGCUGCCGAGCUCGUUCAGUUUCGCGUCUCUUGUGGUGGAAUUUGGCCAUUUCGAACGACAGGCUUCGGCGGGGUUUGUGUGAGUGUGCAGUCAUGGGCGUCGGCGCUGGCGACGCGUGGGUGGGUGGGUACGAGGCUCACUGCGGGGCUUCUCACUACGCGAUGCUGCCGCGAAGACACCCCGCAGCUCACCGCGUGUGUACACCGCUCUCUCUCUAUAUCUGCGUGCCACUAUGUGUACGUUCUAUGAUCGAGGCACCCGCCGCAGCCUUUCUGUUUUCCUUUUUCGAUUUUGGUUCUGUGACUGCAGACACUCUCCCACUCCUCCUUGUUGCUCCUUCUCUCCUCUUUCUCUCUCUGCCUCACUGUCUUCUGCAACCACGAUAGAGUCCAUUCGUGACGGUCUACUGAUGUUAUGCCGGCUGCCCACUGAUGCGUGGUUAUGCGGAGUUCUCGGGAGGGUGGCCGCUAGUCUGUUCUUGGCUUUCCCUGCUUUCCUCUGCCUUUUCCGUUGUAUUUCUUCCCCUCAAUGCUCAUCAUAUGUGCCUUUCCGCACGGUCCCUCGUUGCUGUGUGGGGCCGUAGUACUUGGCGCACGUAACGUGCGUAUGUGCGAGUCCGCUCACCAACUCUCUCGCGUCUUCUCUCUCGUCCUUGACAGACGGAAGCGAGCGGGCAAACAGCAGCGGCCGUGGAGUGGCAUUCGCAGGUGCUGCUGCGCAGCCAUCGAUGGAAGGAGAGGCAGACAGCUGCAGGGAGAGAGAGCGACUUGCGCGCCCAGCUGAAAUUCCGCACGCAUACAUCAACGCACAGGCCGAAAGGGAAAAGGUGGGGGAGAGGCAGGGGCUUUGCCAAUAUGUCUCUGUCACCCUCGUCACCCGCCUCUUCUCCUCCCCUUUCCGUGUUCGGUGCUCUCUUCAACUUCGGUUGUCUCUUCUAUGAAGCGGAACGUGCCGCUGUUGACGGUGCACAGAGACGAGUCUCGGGGCGCAAAUUUCACAGCCGCCGAGGAAGAACACAGAAACGAGAGGGAGAGCGCACUGCGUUCGCCCGCACAUAUGUAGGCAACAACAGCGGCCCCCCUUCGAAUCAAGAAGGAAAGAGAGGAUGCUGAUCAAGCGGGAAGGGAUGGGGAGAGGAAGUGGGUGGGCAGCACUUUUUUAUCCCUUCCUGCUAGACACUUGUUUGUAUCAUAUGUCUAUUCCUCUUGUUAUCUUCUCAUGUCGUUGCCACGCCUGCAUCACUUUAAGUUGCUCCUUUUCCCUGCAUUGUUCAUGCCACCGCCUCGCUUAGUCAUUUCGCGUGUUGUCGUCGUUGGCGGACAAUUCCCCCUCUCUCUCCAGCUGCGCUUGUGUGUCGGUUGCUCUCCUCCUUUUUUUUGUUCGCAAUCUUUCUCUCUGUGUGCUCCCUGCCGCCGCAGAACCGUGGCGGCUGCCCGUGACUCCGUCGCCGGAGUCACCUCACGCCUGCACCGUCUGCGGUGCUGCUGUGCUCUCUCUCGGCGCACAGUCCGUCGCUUCUAUAUACUUUUACCGCCUUUAUGUGAUUCUCUUUUUCCUUUUCUCCUGCGUUCAAAUCUCCAAGCCCACCCCAUGCCGUCGCUGCUCAUUGUCCCCCUCUUCUUCUCCUCGUUUGUGUGGCUGAUUCGCCGCAGACCCCCUCCCCCUCCCCAACACACCGUCUUCCUCCCUAUUCUGUUUCGCUCUUCCUGUGACUCACUCUCUCUCUCUGUGCUCCUCUCCGCUCCCGCUAAGGUGACCUCGUCCUUUCCUAUUCCCUCCUCUCUCUGUCCACCGCUGUUCAUACCGUCUGUGACUUGUACUCUGCGUGCGCGCGCGUGCACAGUAGCCAGAAACAAAAAAAAGACGACACGAUUAACCCUUAAAGUAUGGAGAAAGUGGGGGGGGGGGUGGGGCUGAGAAACGUGUUGUGCCGGGAGUGUGGUUAUACCUUGCCAUCGCGCCUUCGCAGAAGGCUUCCUGUGCCGCCCCUCUCUCCCUCCCUCCUUCGACAUUUGUGUGUAUCUCUGCCUGUCUUGUACACACGUGAAUUCCCCGUCUCUGCUUCCUCCCUCCACAUCCCUGGCUACUCGCUUGGCCACAUCACCCCCUUUACCUUCCGGCGCAUGAACCCAUCUACCCCUCUCCCCUCUGCCUGCCUCGCUCAUGUGUCUCCAUCGUUCUU
This 4202-nucleotide unclassified non-coding RNA is filed under the name Leishmania donovani. RNAcentral's name for it is "gene:LdHU3.06.0090(CDS-product:hypothetical_prote in_conserved)". Lineage: Eukaryota; Euglenozoa; Kinetoplastea; Trypanosomatida; Trypanosomatidae. The record is from RNAcentral.